UACAGAGGUCUCAAGCGUUGUUCGGAUUCAUUGGGCGUAAAGGGUGCGUAGGUGGCGAGGUUAGUCAGGUGUGAAAUCUCGGGGCUCAACCCCGAAACUGCACUUGAUACUGCCUUGCUAGAGUACUGGAGAGGAGAUUGGAAUUUACGGUGUAGCAGUGAAAUGCGUAGAUAUCGUAAGGAAGACCAGUGGCGAAGGCGAAUCUCUGGACAGUUACUGACGCUGAUGCACGAAGGCCAGGGGAGCAAACGGG
Molecule: ribosomal RNA, 253 nt
Filed under: uncultured bacterium
Lineage: Bacteria
Description: partial 16S ribosomal RNA
Rfam family: Bacterial small subunit ribosomal RNA
Source: RNAcentral